GACGAACGCUGGCGGCGUGCUUAACACAUGCAAGUCGAACGGUGAAGCGCCUUCCUUUUUGGCGGGUGUGGAUGAGUGGCGAACGGGUGAGUAACACGUGAGUAACCUGCCCUCUUCUUCUGGAUAACCGCAUGAAAGUGUGGCUAAUACGGGAUACUCCGGGCCUGUCGCAGGAUGGGUUCGGGGAAGAUAGUGCUUCGGUGGGGGAUGGGCUCGCGGCCUAUCAGCUUGUUGGUGGGGUGCUGCCCUACCAAGGCGGUGAAGGGUAGCCGGCCUGAGAGGGUGGACGGUCACAGUGGUGCUGAGACGCGGCGCAGACUCCUACGGGAAGCAGCAGUGGGGAAUGUUGCACGAUGGGAGCAAGCCUGAUGCAGCGCCGCCGCGUGGGAGAUGGAGGCCGUCGGGUUGUGAACCUCUUUCGCGAGAGAAGCGGGCCUGCCUCGUUUGUGGGUGGGUUGACGGUAGCUGGAUAAGAAGCGCCGGCUAACUACGUG
Molecule: ribosomal RNA, 494 nt
Filed under: uncultured bacterium
Lineage: Bacteria
Description: partial 16S ribosomal RNA
Rfam family: Bacterial small subunit ribosomal RNA
Source: RNAcentral